Long non-coding RNA from Phragmites australis (common reed), 662 nucleotides. RefSeq lists it as uncharacterized. The transcript has 3 exons. The record is from RefSeq and is a predicted model, not a curated record. NCBI's taxonomy places the organism in Eukaryota, Viridiplantae, Streptophyta, Magnoliopsida, Poales, Poaceae.
CAAAAUCCACUUCACUAGUCAGAGCCAUCAACUUUACAGUCUGCACCAACCCCUCCCUGUUUCUCUCUCUCUCCGGCGUGAGAGGGAGAGGGAGAGAGAGGAAGGUGUGUGCCUGUGGCAGCCUGAGUCACUGCAAGGUGCGGAAGGCCGGGCUGAUAUGAGUUCUGUCAAGUUCUUGCAGCUUGCUCCGAGAAAUUAGUGAGGUAGACACUGGCAGAUGUAUGCAUACAUAUACCAAUUCGUCAUAUAGACCAGUUCCUCGUGAGCUGAAUGCAUGCAAUUUUAUUUGGCAUUCAUUCUGAACCUUUUUCUCUUCCCCUCUUACACUCUUUUAUCAUAGCUUCUAGCUGAACUCUGAACUGAACAUGUUUGUACGCAUGCACAGCAGCACAGGCCAGUACAAUUCAUUACUAGUACAUAAUGGAUUACGGGUACACGUGCACACGCCGAACAUUCGUACGUAAACUAGGGGUGUGAUUGGUUACUCGCACCAGGUUUCGUGGAGCUACACCGUAUAAGUAGACCGAGUGGAAGUAAGCUAAAUGAAGUUAUAUUUGUUGAAAAGAAAAGUGUUUGUUUGGUUAUGUAUGUCUAGACAGUCUGAGCUAAAUUUCUAUUUGAUUGACUGAAUCUGAUAUAUCAUAAGCGGAUGUAAGAGUUGA